RNAcentral lists this unclassified non-coding RNA (369 nucleotides) under Hevea brasiliensis (rubber tree). Lineage: Eukaryota; Viridiplantae; Streptophyta; Magnoliopsida; Malpighiales; Euphorbiaceae. The record is from RNAcentral.
CGAAGAACAAGAAUAUAUAUUUCUUUUUUCAUUCAUAAAAAAAUAUUCUAAAUUUUGCUUCAAAAGUCCAUGUUUUUCUCAUUAAUAACAUUCCCAAUUCUCAAUGUUUCUUUGUGUCCAAACAGAACCCAUCUAUCUCCAUUCUAGUAUUAUCUGUUUCUCUUCUUCUUUCCUUCUAUUGACGAAGAAGAAUCUGUCGACCCCGUGUGGCACGCAAUUAUACUAGAAUUUUCUGUGAAUUUUUUUAUAUCCUACCCAACAAAAACAAAACCUAUAUAAUAUAAUACCCCAAAAAAGAAAAACCCACCCGUCUUUUUCCCUCGAAGCCACCUUUUUCUUCCUUCCAAUACCCAGAAGGCGGUUUUUGGU